Molecule: transfer RNA, 65 nt
Filed under: Afrogethes fruticola
Lineage: Eukaryota; Metazoa; Arthropoda; Insecta; Coleoptera; Nitidulidae
Description: tRNA-Leu
Source: RNAcentral
UAAAAUUAAAAGUUAUUAUUUUGGCAGAUUAGUGCGAUAGACUUAGAAUCUUUACAUGUAAUUUU